AAUAGAUACCCGGGAAGUCCACGCCGUAAACGAUGAAUACUAGGUGUAGGGGUUGUCAUGACCUCUGUGCCGCCGCUAACGCAUUAAGUAUUCCGCCUGGGGAGUACGGUCGCAAGAUUAAAACUCAAAGGAAUUGACGGGGGCCCGCACAAGCAGCGGAGCAUGUGGUUUAAUUCGAAGCAACGCGAAGAACCUUACCUAGACUUGACAUCUCCUGAAUUACCUUUAAUCGGGGAAGCCCUUCGGGGCAGGAAGACAGGUGGUGCAUGGUUGUCGUCAGCUCGUGUCGUGAGAUGUUGGGUUAAGUCCCUCAACGAGCGCAACCCUUAUUGUUAGUUGCUACCAUUUAGUUGAGCACUCUAGCGAGACUGCCCGGGUUAACCGGGAGGAAGGUGGGGAUGACGUCAAAUCAUCAUGCCCCUUAUGUCUAGGGCUACACACGUGCUACAAUGGUCGGUACAGAGAGAUGCUAAACCGUGAGGUGGAGCCAAACUUUAAACCGAUCUCAGUUCGGAUUGUAGGCUGAAACUCGCCUACAUGAAG
Molecule: ribosomal RNA, 543 nt
Filed under: uncultured bacterium
Lineage: Bacteria
Description: bacterial SSU rRNA
Rfam family: Bacterial small subunit ribosomal RNA
Source: RNAcentral